Molecule: ribosomal RNA, 503 nt
Filed under: uncultured bacterium
Lineage: Bacteria
Description: bacterial SSU rRNA
Rfam family: Bacterial small subunit ribosomal RNA
Source: RNAcentral
CUACGUGCCAGCAGCCGCGGUAAUACGUAGGGCGCGAGCGUUGUCCGGAAUUAUUGGGCGUAAAGAGCUUGUAGGCGGUUUGUCGCGUCUGCUGUGAAAGGCCGGGGCUUAACCCCGUGUAUUGCAGUGGGUACGGGCAGACUAGAGUGCAGUAGGGGAGACUGGAAUUCCUGGUGUAGCGGUGGAAUGCGCAGAUAUCAGGAGGAACACCGAUGGCGAAGGCAGGUCUCUGGGCUGUAACUGACGCUGAGAAGCGAAAGCAUGGGGAGCGAACAGGAUUAGAUACCCUGGUAGUCCAUGCCGUAAACGUUGGGCACUAGGUGUGGGGGACAUUCCACGUUUUCCGCGCCGUAGCUAACGCAUUAAGUGCCCCGCCUGGGGAGUACGGCCGCAAGGUUAAAACUCAAAUGAAUUGACGGGGGCCCGCACAAGCGGUGGAGCAUGUGGUUUAAUUCGAUGCAACGCGAAGAACCUUACCUACUCUUGACAUCCAGAGAACAUUC